GUCGUAACAAGGUUUCCGUAGUGAACCUGCGAAGGAUCAUUG
RNAcentral lists this ribosomal RNA (42 nucleotides) under Siphonolejeunea elegantissima. Its description in RNAcentral is "partial 18S ribosomal RNA". Lineage: Eukaryota; Viridiplantae; Streptophyta; Jungermanniopsida; Porellales; Lejeuneaceae. The record is from RNAcentral.